This 72-nucleotide transfer RNA is filed under the name Camelus ferus (Wild Bactrian camel). It matches the Rfam family "tRNA". Rfam says of the family: Transfer RNA (tRNA) molecules are approximately 80 nucleotides in length. Their secondary structure includes four short double-helical elements and three loops (D, anti-codon, and T loops). Further hydrogen bonds mediate the characteristic L-shaped molecular structure. tRNAs have two regions of fundamental functional importance: the anti-codon, which is responsible for specific mRNA codon recognition, and the 3' end, to which the tRNAs corresponding amino acid is attached (by aminoacyl-tRNA synthetases). tRNAs cope with the degeneracy of the genetic code in two manners: having more than one tRNA (with a specific anti-codon) for a particular amino acid; and 'wobble' base-pairing, i.e. permitting non-standard base-pairing at the 3rd anti-codon position. The record is from Rfam by way of RNAcentral. Lineage: Eukaryota; Metazoa; Chordata; Mammalia; Artiodactyla; Camelidae.
GAGGGUGGAGCUCAGUGGUGGAGUGUGUGCUUAGCAUGCACGAGGCCCUGGGUUCAAUCCCCAGUGACUCCA